UACGUAGGGUGCGAGCGUUGUCCGGAAUCAUUGGGCGUAAAGCGCGUGUAGGCGGCUCGAUAAGUCUGCUGUGAAAGUCCAGGGCUCAACCCUGGGAUGCCGGUGGAUACUGUCGAGCUCGAGUCCGGAAGAGGCGAGUGGAAUUCCUGGUGUAGCGGUGAAAUGCGCAGAUAUCAGGAGGAACACCAAUGGCGAAGGCAGCUCGCUGGGACGGUACUGACGCUGAGACGCGAAAGCGUGGGGAGCAAACAGG
Molecule: ribosomal RNA, 253 nt
Filed under: uncultured bacterium
Lineage: Bacteria
Description: partial 16S ribosomal RNA
Rfam family: Bacterial small subunit ribosomal RNA
Source: RNAcentral